Desulfobacca sp. 4484_104 is the source of this 78-nucleotide non-coding RNA. The record is from Rfam. NCBI's taxonomy places the organism in Bacteria, Pseudomonadati, Thermodesulfobacteriota, Desulfobaccia, Desulfobaccales, Desulfobaccaceae.
UGAAGUUAAAAGCAAACCACUUGUGAGGAUGGGACGCAAAGCUACAGAUCUCCUGAGGGAGAUGGCUGGGUUGCCGAG